GUAAGACCCCUUGAAGACGACGAGGUAGAUAGGCUGGGGGUGGAAGUGCAGCAAUGCAUGGAGCUGACCAGUACUAAUCGGUCGAGGGCUUAUCCA
This 96-nucleotide ribosomal RNA is filed under the name Paenibacillus sp. PDC88. RNAcentral's name for it is "23S rRNA. Bacterial LSU". It matches the Rfam family "Bacterial large subunit ribosomal RNA", at positions 2828 to 2925 of the family's 2925-position model. The record is from RNAcentral. Lineage: Bacteria; Bacillati; Bacillota; Bacilli; Caryophanales; Paenibacillaceae.